AACUGUGGCAACAGUAGAUACAACCGGAACCGAUCAUGUAACACGUAAUUCGGUACAGUGUAUCAUUACUCUCGUCAAGGCUUCAUUCGAGUUGUAGCAACCCAUUUGUUGGUGACGGUCAAGAUCUAAAUCUGUGCAAUGAAUUGCAUCUUUGCUAAGCGUAUUUUGCGAACAAACAUGAGAUAAGACAGUAGUGAAAGAGAAGCGGAGUGAGCGAAGACGAAAUAAUGCUCAGAUCUUUGAUAACAUUUGGUUUGGGCGUGUACACCGGUUUGUACAUAAGUCAAAAUUACGAGUUCUGUUCAUCAUGUCGAAGAAACAGUAUUUCAACAUUGAGCGAGAUGCAGAUGCCAUUUUAGAGAUGCUGAAUGGAGAGGUGUCAGAUUUCGAUUUAUCAUCAGGUGAAGAAUCAGUUCCUGAUGUAGAAUCCUACUGUACUUAAAGAGAGAAGGAAGUGAGAGUGGGGGCUGACAAAAUAAACAGCGGAGAAACCAAUGAUGAGUCAACUGCAAAUAAUGGAAGUGGUGUGUGCAGUGACAGUGAUAACAACAAUAGUGAUAUUCAAGACAGUGAUCCACUUACCAACAAUGAGCUCAGUGAUGUAAAAUACAUUUUGUCAGGAAAAAAGGACAUCAAGUGGUGUCAUCGUCCUCUCUCUCUAUACUGGAUUCAUAUUACGAAUGGGAACAAUGUAUUAAAGAACAGGAAAUACUUUCUCCUUCAAAUUAUUUCAGCAAGUACAUUACCAAUGAUCUGUUCAGUACUAUGGCUGAUAUGACAAACCUAUAUGCCUUGCAGAGUGGAACAAUUAGACCAGCAGAACUCCAAAUCUUGUUUGGGCUUCAUAAAAUUAUUGGAACUCUAAAAUUUCCUAGAGUCCGAAUGUAUUGGGACACAACAUUGAAAAUGCAACUAUUCUUGGACAGUAUGCCCAGAAAUAGAUUCUUCCAACUCGGAACAAAUUUACAUCUUGUUAACAACAUGGCUAUACCAGCAGACAAUCAAUAAAUAAAUAAAGUUCAGCCUAUAUGUACUGCCAUCUGUAACAGAUGUCUGGAGUUAUCUGUGGAGGAAGAGCUUGCUGUUGAUGAGGCAAUGAUCCCAUUCACAGGGAAGCUGUCAGUAGAACAGUAUGUGAAGGGAAAACCUUCUCCGUGGGGUAUCAAAAUGUACAUGUUAUGUGGUAAGAGUGGACAAGCCUAUGAUUUUAUUCUUUAUCAGGGAGCAUCGACUGUUGAAGGAAUUUGGCCAAGGUCCAACAAUUAGCCCAGAGAAUAAAAAACCAAAUGGGGCAUAAGAUAUGUUUUGACAAUUUCUUUUCUUCAUACAACCUUUUCCAAGCGUAGAAAUGAGAAAAAAUUUGUGCUUCUGGAACUGUCCGAGUUAAUCGUUUUGCAAAUCCUCCUCUAAUACCAGAUAAGGAGGCAAUGAAGGAGGAAAGAGGAUUUUCAGAAGAAAUUUGUAGUGCAGAUGACAUAACACUGGUAAAAUGGGUUGACAACAAAACAGUUGCUCUAGGCUCUAAUUUUAUUGGAAAAGAAGAAAUUGACAAAGUUGAACACUGGGACAAAAAAGAAAGUAAAUACGUUACUAUUGAUCAACCAGAGAUUGUAAAAUGCUACAACCAUGGCAUGGGCGGAGUUGAUCUUUUUGAUCAAUUGAUGUCAUACUACAGAAUUUUUAUAAAGUCAAAGAAAUGGAUGCUCAGAACUAUUUUCCAUGCUGUAGAUUUUGCUGUGGUACAGAGCUGGCUCGAAUACAGGAAAAUGCCAAAGCAGUUGGUCUACAAACGAAGAAAAUAAUGGAUCUCCUACACUUCUGUAUGAAGCUGGCUGAUGUUCUAGUGUUAAGUGGGAUGGAUACCUUGAAUAGAAAAUGAGGCCGACCAUCUGCCACACCUCCAGAUACACCUGUUCAAAGACGACGAGGAGAAACUAGGCCUCCUGAAGAGAUUCAGUAUGAUGGAACACAACACUUGCCUCUUCAUGAAAGUGGUGCCCUGCCUACCAGGUGCAAAUUUCCGGGAUGCAAGGGACGUUCAAGAAUAAAAUGUGAAAAAUGUAAUGUACAUCUUUGUUUGUCAAAGGAAAAAAAACUGUUUCCUUUCAUUUCAUGUCAAUUAGAACCACAUAAUGAACAUAAUUCCUGACUCAUUUCAUUUUUAAUUAAAACUAUGGUGAAUUUUGCAUGUAUUUUGUGUG
Schistocerca cancellata (South American locust) is the source of this 2201-nucleotide long non-coding RNA. RefSeq lists it as uncharacterized. The transcript is spliced from 3 exons. Lineage: Eukaryota; Metazoa; Arthropoda; Insecta; Orthoptera; Acrididae. The record is from RefSeq and is a predicted model, not a curated record.